GAAAUGCGAUAAGUAAUGUGAAUUGCAGAAUUCAGUGAAUCAUCGAAUCUUUGAACGCACCUUGCGCACCUUGGUAUUCCUUGGAGCAUGCCUGUUUGAGUAUCAUGAAAUCUUCAAAGUAAAUCUUUUGUUAACUCAAUUGGUUUCUACUUUGGUAUUGGAGGUCUUUGCAGCUUCACACCUGCUCCUCUUUGUUCAUUAGCUGGAUCUCAGUGUUAUGCUUGGUUCCACUCGGCGUGAUAAGUUAUCUAUCGCUGAGGACACUGUAAAAGGUGGCCAAGGUAAAUGCAGAUGAACCGCUUCUAAUAGUCCAUUGACUUGGACAAUACUUUUAUGAUCUGAUCUCAAAUCAGGUAGGACUACCCGCUGAACUUAAAC
RNAcentral lists this unclassified non-coding RNA (378 nucleotides) under plant metagenome. RNAcentral's name for it is "partial contains 5.8S ribosomal RNA, internal transcribed spacer 2, and large subunit ribosomal RNA". The stretch from base 1 to 105 matches the Rfam family "5.8S ribosomal RNA", at positions 50 to 154 of the family's 154-position model. The record is from RNAcentral.